Molecule: ribosomal RNA, 1221 nt
Filed under: Triticum aestivum (bread wheat)
Lineage: Eukaryota; Viridiplantae; Streptophyta; Magnoliopsida; Poales; Poaceae
Description: partial small subunit ribosomal RNA
Source: RNAcentral
AUGGCUUCAGUAGGCGUUGCUCCCUCUGGGCACAAGAACAGCAGCGGCACCAGCAUGGGUGCUGAGAAGCUACCAGAUCAGAUGAACGAUUUGAAGAUAAGAGAUGAUAAGGAAGUGGAAGCUACUAUUAUUAAUGGCAAGGGAACAGAGACUGGACACAUAAUUGUCACAACUACUGGUGGCAAAAAUGGUCAGCCGAAACAGACCGUGAGCUACAUGGCUGAGCGGAUUGUUGGUCAAGGUUCAUUUGGUAUUGUAUUCCAGGCUAAAUGUUUGGAGACAGGGGAAACUGUUGCCAUUAAGAAGGUCCUUCAGGAUAAGCGCUACAAGAACCGUGAGCUACAGACCAUGCGCCUGCUUGACCACCCAAAUGUUGUAGCUCUGAAGCAUUGUUUCUUUUCUACAACUGAGAAGGAUGAACUGUAUCUAAACUUGGUUCUUGAGUAUGUGCCUGAGACUGUCCAUCGUGUUGUCAAGCAUUACAACAAGAUGAACCAGCGCAUGCCACUAAUCUAUGUUAAGCUGUAUACGUACCAGAUAUGUAGGGCUCUGGCUUACAUUCAUGGCAGCAUUGGAGUUUGCCACAGGGAUAUCAAGCCGCAAAAUCUUCUGGUAAACCCACACACUCACCAGCUGAAACUGUGUGACUUUGGGAGUGCAAAAGUUCUUGUUAAGGGAGAACCGAACAUAUCGUACAUUUGUUCCCGAUACUAUAGGGCUCCAGAGCUCAUAUUUGGUGCUACCGAGUACACUACAGCCAUUGACAUUUGGUCUGCUGGAUGUGUUCUUGCUGAGCUUAUGCUAGGGCAGCCUCUGUUUCCUGGUGAAAGUGGUGUGGACCAGCUUGUUGAAAUCAUCAAGGUCCUUGGUACUCCUACAAGGGAAGAAAUUAAAUGCAUGAACCCCAAUUAUACGGAGUUCAAAUUCCCACAGAUUAAAGCACACCCAUGGCACAAGGUAUUCCAUAAAAGGAUGCCACCUGAAGCUGUUGAUCUAGUCUCUCGGCUCCUCCAGUACUCGCCCAACCUAAGAUGCACUGCUGUGGAGGCACUUGUUCACCCCUUCUUUGAUGAGCUUCGGGACCCGGGUACCCGCCUUCCGAAUGGCCGCUUUCUGCCUCCUCUUUUUAACUUCAAGCCUAACGAACUGAAAGGAAUCCCAGCGGAUGUUGCGGCAAAAUUGAUCCCAGAACACGCGAGAAAGCAGAGCCCCCAUGCAUGA